This 435-nucleotide ribosomal RNA is filed under the name uncultured bacterium. RNAcentral describes it as "partial 16S ribosomal RNA". It matches the Rfam family "Bacterial small subunit ribosomal RNA", at positions 29 to 507 of the family's 1533-position model. The record is from RNAcentral.
AACGAACGCUGGCGGCAUGCCUAACACAUGCAAGUCGAACGAUUGCCUUCGGGUGAUAGUGGCGCACGGGUGCGUAACGCGUGGGAAUCUGCCCUUAGGUUCGGAAUAACAGCUGGAAACGGCUGCUAAUACCGGAUGAUAUCGCGAGAUCAAAGAUUUAUCGCCUGAGGAUGAGCCCGCGUUGGAUUAGGUAGUUGGUGGGGUAAAGGCCUACCAAGCCGACGAUCCAUAGCUGGUCUGAGAGGAUGAUCAGCCACACUGGGACUGAGACACGGCCCAGACUCCUACGGGAGGCAGCAGUGGGGAAUAUUGGACAGUGGGCGCAAGCCUGAUGCAGCAAGGCCGCGUGAGUGAUGAAGGCCCUAGGGUUGUAAAGCUCUUUUACCCGGGAAGAUAAUGACUGUACCGGGAGAAUAAGCCCCGGCUAACUCCGUG